Molecule: ribosomal RNA, 466 nt
Filed under: uncultured bacterium
Lineage: Bacteria
Description: partial 16S ribosomal RNA
Rfam family: Bacterial small subunit ribosomal RNA
Source: RNAcentral
GACGAACGCUGGCGGCGUGCUUAACACAUGCAAGUCGAACGGAAAGGCCCUGCUUGCAGGGUACUCGAGUGGCGAACGGGUGAGUAACACGUGGGUGAUCUGCCCUGCACUUCGGGAUAAGCCUGGGAAACUGGGUCUAAUACCGGAUAGGAGCCAUUUUUAGUGUGAUGGUUGGAAAGUUUUUUUCGGUGUAGGAUGAGCUCGCGGCCUAUCAGCUUGUUGGUGGGGUAAUGGCCUACCAAGGCGGCGUCGGGUAGCCGGCCUGAGAGGGUGGACGGCCACAUUGGGACUGAGAUACGGCCCAGACUCCUACGGGAGGCAGCAGUGGGGAAUAUUGCACAAUGGGCGCAAGCCUGAUGCAGCGACGCCGCGUGGGGGAUGACGGCCUUCGGGUUGUAAACUCCUUUCGCUAGGGACGAAGCUUUUUGUGACGGUACCUAGAUAAGAAGCACCGGCUAACUACGUG